Long non-coding RNA from Beta vulgaris subsp. vulgaris (sugar beet), 1202 nucleotides. RefSeq lists it as uncharacterized. The record is from RefSeq and is a predicted model, not a curated record. The transcript is spliced from 2 exons. NCBI's taxonomy places the organism in Eukaryota, Viridiplantae, Streptophyta, Magnoliopsida, Caryophyllales, Amaranthaceae.
CGUGAAAGUGUGGAGCAAAAUUUCUGAUUUUUGGUUACAAAAUAAAAAGGAAAAAUAAAAGCUUCCAUGGUCAACUACACAAUAAUUUUACGUUCUUCUUCACCCUUCCAUGGUCACUUGGCAAGCAUGUCAAGACACUCCCUCCUUUUUCCUCUGUCAAAAUCCUGCUACCAAUCAAUUACCUUAGCUUCUUCAUGUAAAAAAAAAUCAGAUUAAUUACUCUAAUUUUCUCCCUCCCAACCACUGAUUUUGGGUUCUCAAUCUCACUAUAAAUAGCCAUGAAAAUCUCUCACCAAGAACACCAUCAACAACAAUUCUAUAAACUUACUCCUCUCAUAUCUUACUCCACCACCACCUACGAACCAUCUUUCAACUACCACAAUUCCAGUCACAAAUUCGUCGGAAACUCGCCGGAAAACAUGACCCAAAGUAACCCAAAAAGAGAAACCCAUAUUUCCCUUCUCUCUCCUCUGUUUCGGGUUUCAAACGCCACCACCAUCGGCUGCCGCUGGCUUGCGGACGCCACGACAGACGCCUGCUACCUCGCGCAUCGCUCGCCGGCCACCUAGACCCUCGCCGGAGAUCCACCGUGCCAGCACCCUCGCGUUCUCUCCUCUUUCUCGCACUUUUCUUUCUCGCGUCCUCUCUUUCGUCGCGCUAGCAACACCGCGCACAACCACCGCGGCACGCAGCUCGUCGCCGCCGUUCGCCGGUCUCGUCGCUGUCGUUCGCCGCUGCUCGCCAUCGUCGCCGGAGCCGACCUCCUGCCGCUGUCGUCCCUAGCUCCCUGCUCUAAGAAGCAGAGGUAUGGAAGAACAAUUGUGGAUCACUAUUAUACUACGUUAUGGAGAAUUGGAGAUUAUGUAUGAUUCAUGAGGUUUUAAGUUACUUUCUUUGAUGGAUAAACAAGUAUUAUUUUGCGAUGAGUAAUUGUAUAGUUGAUUUUAAAAUUUUAGGCUACUAUUUUAUUUGUGGGCCAUAACCCACAAACUUAAGUUAUGCUUCCGUUGACGAUUAAGGUUAUGUAAACUUUCGGGGAGUUACAGUUAGAGUUCCGAGUAAAACUUGUAAGAGAGUUGGAGUUUCGAGUGGAACUUGCGCAUGUAAUAUGUUGUAACAGAGGAGGUUCCCUAUUAUAGUGAGGAUAUUUAUAAAUGUGAGGUAGUAUAUUUACAAAGUAAGGUAUAUAUAUUUUGUAUUUA